RNAcentral lists this ribosomal RNA (255 nucleotides) under uncultured bacterium. RNAcentral describes it as "partial 16S ribosomal RNA". It matches the Rfam family "Bacterial small subunit ribosomal RNA", at positions 57 to 305 of the family's 1533-position model. The record is from RNAcentral.
GCAAGUCGAGCGGUAACAGAGAGUAGCUUGCUACUUUGCUGACGACCGGCGAACGGGUGCGUAACGCGUAUAGAAUCUGCCUUGUACAGGAGUAUAGCCUUUAGAAAUGAAGAUUAACCCUCCAUAAUACUGAGAGUUGGCAUCAACUUUUAGUUAAACAUUUAUGGGUACAAGAUGACUAUGCGUCCUAUUAGCUAGAUGGUAAGGUAACGGCUUACCAUGGCAACGAUAGGUAGGGGGUCUGAGAGGAUUAUC